Molecule: ribosomal RNA, 253 nt
Filed under: uncultured bacterium
Lineage: Bacteria
Description: partial 16S ribosomal RNA
Rfam family: Bacterial small subunit ribosomal RNA
Source: RNAcentral
UACGAGGGGUGCAAGCAUUAAUCGGAAUCAUUGGGCGUAAAGGGCGCGUAGGCGGGGAUGUAAGUCAGGUGUGAAAUACCAAAGCUCAACUUUGGUGCUGCAUUUGAAACUGCAUUUCUUGAGGACUGACGGAGAAAGCGGAAUUCCAUGAGUAGCGGUGAAAUGCGUAGAUACAUGGAGGAACACCGGUGGCGAAAGCGGCUUUCUAGUUUUUACCUGACGCUGAGGCGCGAGAGCAAGGGGAGCAAACAGG